CCCUUAGAUGUUUGGGGCCGCACGCGCGCUACACUGAAGGACUCAACGUGUGUCUCACCUGGCCCGGGAGGGCUGGGUAACCCGUUGAACCUCUUUCGUGCUAGGGAUUGGGGCUUGUAAUUCUUCCCCAUGAACGAGGAAUUCCCAGUAAGCGCGAGUCAUCAGCUCGCGUUGAUUACGUCCCUGCCCUUUGUACACACCGCCCGUCGCUACUACCGAUUGGAUGGUUUAGUGAGAUCCUCGGAUUGGACCCGGCAUGGUGGGUUACCGCCGCGCCGGCGUGCCGAGAAGACGAUCAAACUUGAUCAUCUAGAGGAAGUAAAAGUCGUAACA
This 333-nucleotide ribosomal RNA is filed under the name uncultured eukaryote. RNAcentral describes it as "partial 18S ribosomal RNA". It matches the Rfam family "Eukaryotic small subunit ribosomal RNA", at positions 1470 to 1796 of the family's 1831-position model. The record is from RNAcentral.